UCUUCAGGACACCCUUUGGCAGCACAUACUAAAACCAGAUCAAUACAGAGAAUAUUAGCAUGGCCCCUAGGCAAGGAUGCCACACAAACCAUGAAGCAUUCCAUAAAAGA
Molecule: small nuclear RNA, 110 nt
Organism: Nannospalax galili (Upper Galilee mountains blind mole rat)
Lineage: Eukaryota; Metazoa; Chordata; Mammalia; Rodentia; Spalacidae
Source: Ensembl